Molecule: ribosomal RNA, 821 nt
Filed under: Streptococcus sp. BS-08
Lineage: Bacteria; Bacillati; Bacillota; Bacilli; Lactobacillales; Streptococcaceae
Description: bacterial SSU rRNA
Rfam family: Bacterial small subunit ribosomal RNA
Source: RNAcentral
GAUGAUUGGGCGUAAGGGUGCGUAGGCGGUACGGUAAGUCUGUAGUAAAAGGCGGCAGCUCAACUGUCGUAGGCUAUGGAAACUGUCGAACUAGAGUGCAGAAGAGGGCGAUGGAACUCCAUGUGUAGCGGUAAAAUGCGUAGAUAUAUGGAAGAACACCAGUGGCGAAGGCGGUCGCCUGGUCUGUAACUGACGCUGAAGCACGAAAGCGUGGGGAGCAAAUAGGAUUAGAUACCCUAGUAGUCCACGCCGUAAACGAUGAGAACUAAGUGUUGGGGGAAUAACUCAGUGCUGCAGUUAACGCAAUAAGUUCUCCGCCUGGGGAGUAUGCACGCAAGUGUGAAACUCAAAGGAAUUGACGGGGGCCCGCACAAGCGGUGGAGUAUGUGGUUUAAUUCGAAGCAACGCGAAGAACCUUACCAGGCCUUGACAUCCCCGGCGAAGACAUGGAGACAUGUCGGAGGUUAACCGGGAGACAGGUGGUGCAUGGUUGUCGUCAGCUCGUGUCGUGAGAUGUUGGGUUAAGUCCCGCAACGAGCGCAACCCUUGUGAUAUGUUACUAACAGUAAGAUGAGGACUCAUAUCAGACUGCCGGUGACAAACCGGAGGAAGGUGGGGAUGACGUCAAAUCAUCAUGCCCCUUAUGGCCUGGGCUACACACGUACUACAAUGGCGGCUACAAAGAGCGGCGAACCCGCGAGGGGGAGCGAAUCUCAUAAAGGUCGUCUCAGUUCGGAUUGAAGUCUGCAACCCGACUUCAUGAAGUUGGAAUCGCUAGUAAUCGCGAAUCAGCAUGUCCCGGGGAAUACGUUCUCGGGCCU